GGGGGGGGGGGGGGGGGGGGGGGGGGGGGGGGGGGGGGGCCGCGCUCCCAGAGACGGGCGCGGUGACGGCCGGCAGCCGGGGCUCUGGCGUCGGGCGGCAUGUGCCGCUGCCCGACGGAAGAUGGGCUGUACUGCCUGUGCCUGGCCCCUGUUAGCCUGGAGAAAUUAUUUAAGAAGCUGAUUAUGGAUUCAGGAAGCAGAGUAGCUGCAGUUUUCAUCUGCUCUGAGGAGGAAGAAAGAAAGAAGAUUGAAGCUGCAACCAUGUUGUGAAGGAUUGCACUUUAGCACUGUUUGCUUUAGGAUGAGCUUGCAGAAGAAUUAACCUGACAGUAAAAAGUCCUACAGUGGUGUUCAUGAAUGCUACUUCUGGGAAGGGAAGGACAUCAGAAGAAAGGAUUUUAUUAAAAGUGCCAAACUAUGUUUAACUGCUUAACAAAAGGUGUGGAGUUUUGUUUUUUUUUAAUUGUGUCUUUUAAAAAAAUUUUGUUUCAGUAAUUUUGGGCACUUUCUUUUUGUUAUUUUUGGUGGGGGUUUUUUGUUUUUGGUGGGGUUUUUUUGUUUUGUUUUUUUUUUUGUUUUGUUUUUGUUUUUUUUUUUUUUUUUGGUUUGGUUUUUUUUUUUUUGGUGGGUUGGGUUUUUUUUGGGGGGGGGGGGGGGGGGGGGGGGGGGGGGGGGGGGGGGGGGGGGGGGGGGGGGGGGGGGGGGGGGGGGGGGGGGGGGGGGGGGGGGGGGGGGGGGGGGGGGGGGGGGGGGGGGG
Molecule: long non-coding RNA, 757 nt
Filed under: Ficedula albicollis (Collared flycatcher)
Lineage: Eukaryota; Metazoa; Chordata; Aves; Passeriformes; Muscicapidae
Description: lncRNA (ENSFALG00000024568.1)
Source: RNAcentral